This 267-nucleotide signal recognition particle RNA is filed under the name Peptococcaceae bacterium. RNAcentral describes it as "signal recognition particle sRNA large type". It matches the Rfam family "Bacterial large signal recognition particle RNA". From Rfam's summary of the family: The signal recognition particle (SRP) is a universally conserved ribonucleoprotein involved in the co-translational targeting of proteins to membranes. Archaeal SRP consists of a 7S RNA and homologues of the eukaryotic SRP19 and SRP54 proteins. RNAcentral also lists the same sequence under 1 other name. Lineage: Bacteria; Bacillati; Bacillota; Clostridia; Eubacteriales; Peptococcaceae. The record is from RNAcentral.
CCGUGCUAGACGGGGAGGUAGCGGUGCCCUGUAACCCGCAAUCCGCUAUAGCGGGGUUGAAGUCCUGCCCGCGGGCUUGGCUUGUGGGGUCCGGCCGCCGCAAGGAGCGAAGAAGGUCGGGUCUCGCGCGACGAAGAUUCCCGAACCGUGUCAGGUCCUGGCGGAAGCAGCACUAAGGGAAACCCUUCGGGUGCCGCGAGGGUGCCUGGCCCGAGCCACCUGCGGCAGGUAACGCCCGGAAGCCAUUGUUCAACGGCAGGUGCACGG